UAAACACGUAAUGUGUGUUGCUAAUGUUGGGCCAUGUAAUAUGUAAUACAUUUACGUUUUAAUGAAUAGUCUAACGAUUUAUAGUCGUUGUACUCUAUUGUUAUAAUAUUUCUUUUUGACUGAAUACAUGUUUGUUUUAUUUGUCUAUAUCCUAGAUUCGCAGCUGUACACAUCCUUCUACACUGUAUGCAAACAUGCAACAUCAUAACACACAGUACAAGGAGUCAGACUGGCAUAUGAGGAGCAAAGGAACCCAGGCAGUAGCAUCGUUUCACAAUGUUUCCAUCACCAUCAUCAGUGGAUGCCUUUCCCGUCCGUACCCUGAGAUUUCAGAUUUGCAGCAAAAAAAAUUGACUUUCCCAUUUAUUGGAAUGCUGUGCAGGUUGUACCUUGCAGCCAUCCAUUACAAUGUCACCAAGCCGUAACAAAAGCAGGAGAGGGAAAGUACAAGGCUAUGUUCCCAAAACACACAAGUGACAUACCUUAUGUGGAUGAUGUGAUCAGGCUUGUGUUUGAUGAGGUAUUUGAAGAUAAGCUGAAGGAAACCCCGAUUCCAAUGGACCUGGCAUCACAGUUUGAGAGACCUUCAAAGGAGGACU
Paramisgurnus dabryanus is the source of this 599-nucleotide non-coding RNA. The record is from RefSeq and is a predicted model, not a curated record. NCBI's taxonomy places the organism in Eukaryota, Metazoa, Chordata, Actinopteri, Cypriniformes, Cobitidae.